RNAcentral lists this ribosomal RNA (254 nucleotides) under uncultured bacterium. RNAcentral's name for it is "partial 16S ribosomal RNA". It matches the Rfam family "Bacterial small subunit ribosomal RNA", at positions 524 to 776 of the family's 1533-position model. The record is from RNAcentral.
UACGUAGGGUGCAAGCGUUAAUCGGAAUUACUGGGCGUAAAGCGUGCGCAGGCGGCUUUGCAAGACAGAUGUGAAAUCCCCGGGCUUAACCUGGGAACUGCAUUUGUGACUGCAAGGCUGGAGUACGGGCAGAGGGGGAUGGAAUUCCGCGUGUAGCAGUGAAAUGCGUAGAUAUGCGGAGGAACACCGAUGGCGAAGGCAAUCCCCUGGGCCUGUACUGACGCUCAUGCACGAAAGCGUGGGGAGCAAACAGG